This 412-nucleotide ribosomal RNA is filed under the name uncultured flagellate. Its description in RNAcentral is "bacterial SSU rRNA". It matches the Rfam family "Eukaryotic small subunit ribosomal RNA", at positions 701 to 1113 of the family's 1831-position model. The record is from RNAcentral.
CUUCAAUCGCUAUCACCUUUCUUCAUUGAUUGGUGAGUGGCAUUGGAUCUUUUACUUUGAAAAAAUUCGAGUGUUUCAAGCCGGGUUUAUGCUAUGAAUACAUUAGCAAGAAAUUAUAAUUUAGGACUUCGACUCUGUUUUGUUGGUUUCUAGGACUGAAGUAAUGAUUGAUAGGGAUAGUUGGGGGUGCUAGGAUUCAGCGGCCAGAGGAGAAAUUCUCGGAUUCGCCGAAGACUAACUUAUGCGAAAGCAUUCACCAAGGAUGUCUUCUUUAAUCAAGAACGAAAGUUGGGGGAUCGAAGACGAUCAGAUACCGUCGUAGUCUCAACAAUAAACUAUGCCUACUAGGGAUGAGUGAACGUUGCAUUUUCGACUUAAGAAGCACCUUAUGAGAAAUCAAAGUCUUUGGGUU